Molecule: ribosomal RNA, 253 nt
Filed under: uncultured bacterium
Lineage: Bacteria
Description: partial 16S ribosomal RNA
Rfam family: Bacterial small subunit ribosomal RNA
Source: RNAcentral
UACGUAGGCAGCAAGCGUUGUUCGGAAUUACUGGGCGUAAAGAGUGCGUAGGCGGUUUCUCAAGUCCGCUGUGAAAUCCCCGGGCUCAACCUGGGAAUGGCAGUGGAAACUAGGAGACUUGAAUCUGGCAGAGGGGGGUGGAAUUCCACGUGUAGCAGUGAAAUGCGUAGAGAUGUGGAGGAACACCGAUGGCGAAGGCAGCCCCCUGGGCUGAGAUUGACGCUCAGGCACGAAAGCGUGGGGAGCAAACAGG